Sphaeramia orbicularis (orbiculate cardinalfish) is the source of this 211-nucleotide long non-coding RNA. RefSeq lists it as uncharacterized. The record is from RefSeq and is a predicted model, not a curated record. Lineage: Eukaryota; Metazoa; Chordata; Actinopteri; Kurtiformes; Apogonidae. The transcript is spliced from 3 exons.
CAUGUUCACCUCUGUUUUGGGUUUGCGUAAGUGCGGAACAUUGCAAAUGUGUUCCACCAAUCAGCGUUCUUCAGCAUACAGCCCCGCCCCUCAAGAAUUCCAGGGAAUCUGAAAAGCCCCACCCCCUUACUAGGAACUUUUGUCAGGUAAAGUUUAGGUUUGAGGGAAAGUUUUUUUGUCAGGUAAUUUUGGUGGAAACGUGCCAAGGUUU